RNAcentral lists this long non-coding RNA (631 nucleotides) under Carica papaya (papaya). RNAcentral's name for it is "long non-coding RNA (CPAP_LNC009736)". Lineage: Eukaryota; Viridiplantae; Streptophyta; Magnoliopsida; Brassicales; Caricaceae. The record is from RNAcentral.
AAGUCAAAAAUUUUCUUCAGUCUCUAAGAUAUGGCAGCUACCAUGGAUUUUUGCAGUAGCAGACCAGUUCAAGCAGGUCCCUUCGGGGACGAGCUUAUGGAAGCACUUGAGCCUUUUAUUAAAAGUGCUUUAUCUUCUUCUCCUUCUCCUCCUCUCUCCUCAUCUUACCAGAUUCCAUCUUGUACUUCCUCCUCUAGUUAUUCUUCUGCCAAUGACAUCUCUUUCUGCCCUUCAUUUUCUACCAACACAACACAACCCAGUCUAUACUCGGGUGAUUGCUGUACCACCUCUAUGCCUCAACCUAUUUCAAACGCGCACUCGGUUCAUGAUCCGUCGGCUCUCCAGCAAUCGGGGUCGAUCGGGCUGAAUCACCUCACUCGGUCUCAGAUGAACCAGAUCCAGUCGCAAUUUCACCUCCAGAGUCAACAAAGCCCGUCUUUACUGUACCAAUAUUAUCCUCAACAGCAGCAUGCCUUUCAGUUCCUCAGCCCAAAGCCUGUUCCAAUGAAGCAAGUUGGUUCCCCCCCAAAGCCCACCAAGCUCUACAGGGGUGUGAGGCAGCGGCAUUGGGGCAAGUGGGUCGCCGAGAUCCGCCUGCCGAAGAACCGGACCCGGCUUUGGCUCGGCACCU